Non-coding RNA from Micropterus dolomieu (smallmouth bass), 424 nucleotides. The record is from the annotation of a RefSeq genome assembly. NCBI's taxonomy places the organism in Eukaryota, Metazoa, Chordata, Actinopteri, Centrarchiformes, Centrarchidae.
ACAUCAGUUCAGCUUCAACAUCAACAUGUUCUCUGCAGCUCUGAUACUGCUGCUGGCAGCUGGAUCCUGUGUGAACAGUAUUGAUCUCAUCCAGCCAGACACGAUGGUUGUGCAGCCUGGACAGUCUUUGUCCAUCACCUGUCAGGUCUCUGGUUAUUCUUUGACUGAUAACAGCUAUGCAACAGGUUGGAUCAGACAGUGUGAAGGAAAACCAAUGGACUGGAUUUUUCAUCAGUGGGGAGGAGGCGACUUUUACCAAAAUGAUGCUCUGAAGAACAAGUUCAGCUACAGCAGAGACACUUCUGCUGGAACAGUGACUAUAAAAGGAAAUAAUCUGCAACCUGAAGACACAGCUGUGUAUUACUGUGUACAUAUAAUAACAGUCAACAGACUCUUCUAUUGGCUCCAGUUAGACCAACAUUGA